AGACCCGAAACCCGGUGAUCUAGCCAUGGGCAGGUUGAAGGUUGGGUAACACUAACUGGAGGACCGAACCGACUAAUGUUGAAAAAUUAGCGGAUGACCUGUGGCUGGGGGUGAAAGGCCAAUCAAACCGGGAGAUAGCUGGUUCUCCCCGAAAGCUAUUUAGGUAGCGCCUCGUGAAUUCAUCUCCGGGGGUAGAGCACUGUUUCGGCUAGGGGGCCAUCCCGGCUUACCAACCCGAUGCAAACUGCGAAUACCGGAGAAUGUUAUCACGGGAGACACACGGCGGGUGCUAACGUCCGUCGUGAAGAGGGAAACAACCCAGACCGCCAGCUAAGGUCCCAAAGUCAUGGUUAAGUGGGAAACGAUGUGGGAAGGCCCAGACAGCCAGGAUGUUGGCUUAGAAGCAGCCAUCAUUUAAAGAAAGCGUAAUAGCUCACUGGUCGAGUCGGCCUGCGCGGAAGAUGUAACGGGGCUAAACCAUGCACCGAAGCUGCGGCAGCGACACUGUGUGUUGUUGGGUAGGGGAGCGUUCUGUAAGCCUGUGAAGGUGUGUCGUGAGGC
This 561-nucleotide ribosomal RNA is filed under the name Salmonella enterica subsp. enterica serovar Muenchen. RNAcentral describes it as "partial 23S ribosomal RNA". It matches the Rfam family "Bacterial large subunit ribosomal RNA", at positions 711 to 1269 of the family's 2925-position model. The record is from RNAcentral. Lineage: Bacteria; Pseudomonadati; Pseudomonadota; Gammaproteobacteria; Enterobacterales; Enterobacteriaceae. RNAcentral also lists the same sequence under 22 other names.